ACGCAGACCCUGACCUACCCAUGUCAUGUGAGGUAUCCGGAAGGGAUUUUGCCUUGGGGACAAGAGAACCAGAGGUGGGGCAUGGUUGUCCUGUUGUCGUGUCGUGAGAUGAGGGGUUAAGUCCAGCCACGAGCACAACCCUUCCUUUGUCUUUCCAUCAUUAGGUUGGGCACUUUAAGGAGACUGCCGGUGACAAACCGGAGGAAGGUGGGGAUGACGUCAAAUCCUCAUGGCCCUUAUGGCUAGGGCUACACACGUGCUACAAUGGUCGGUACAAAGGGGAGCCAACCCGCGAGGGGGAGCCAAUCUCAAAAAACCGAUCGCAGUCCGGAUUGCAGUCUGCAACUCGAUGCAUGAAGUCGGAAUCGCUAGUAAUCGCGAUCAGCCGUCGCGAUCCUAG
RNAcentral lists this ribosomal RNA (400 nucleotides) under uncultured Propionivibrio sp. RNAcentral's name for it is "bacterial SSU rRNA". It matches the Rfam family "Bacterial small subunit ribosomal RNA", at positions 961 to 1363 of the family's 1533-position model. The record is from RNAcentral. Lineage: Bacteria; Pseudomonadati; Pseudomonadota; Betaproteobacteria; Rhodocyclales; Rhodocyclaceae.